GUGGGGAAUAUUGGGCAAUGGGCGAAAGCCUGACCCAGCAACGCCGCGUGAGGGAAGAAGGUUUUCGGAUCGUAAACCUCUGUCCUUGGGGACGAAAGAAAUGACGGUACCCAAGGAGGAAGCCCCGGCUAACUACGUGCCAGCAGCCGCGGUAAUACGUAGGGGGCGAGCGUUGUCCGGAAUGAUUGGGCGUAAAGGGCGCGUAGGCGGCCUGUUAAGUCCGGAGUGAAAUUCCUGCUUUCAAGGUAGGAAGUGCUUUGGAAACUGGCGGGCUGGAGUGCAGGAGAGGUUAGCGGAAUUCCCGGUGUAGCGGUGAAAUGCGUAGAGAUCGGGAGGAACACCAGUGGCGAAGGCGGCUAACUGGACUGUAACUGACGCUGAGGCGCGAAAGUGUGGGGAGCAAACAGGAUUAGAUACCCGAGUAGUCC
This 428-nucleotide ribosomal RNA is filed under the name uncultured bacterium. RNAcentral describes it as "bacterial SSU rRNA". It matches the Rfam family "Bacterial small subunit ribosomal RNA", at positions 354 to 796 of the family's 1533-position model. The record is from RNAcentral.